GACGAACGCUGGCGGCGUGCCUAAUACAUGCAAGUCGAGCGAAGCGGCGGAUGGGUGAGUAACGCGUGGGUAACCUGCACUUAAGUCUGGGAUACCAAAUGGAAACAGCUGCUAAUACCGGAUAAUAAAGGAUGGACCUGCGAUGCAUUAGCUAGUUGGUAAGGUAAAGGCUUACUAAGGCGAUGAUGAAUGGCUGAGUUGGGAGACGGAUCGGCCACAGUGGGACUGGGACACGGCCCAAACUCCAACGGAGGGCAGCAGUAGGGAAUCUUCCACAGUGGCCGAAAGUCUGAUGGAGCAACGCGGCGUGCGUGAAGACGGUUUUCGGGUCGUAAAGCUCUGUUGUUGGUGAAGGGUUACUCAACCAGAAAGUCACGGCUAACUACGUGCAAGCAGCCGCGGUAAUC
This 407-nucleotide ribosomal RNA is filed under the name uncultured bacterium. Its description in RNAcentral is "partial 16S ribosomal RNA". It matches the Rfam family "Bacterial small subunit ribosomal RNA", at positions 28 to 525 of the family's 1533-position model. The record is from RNAcentral.